UUUCCAUAAGCAGCAGCCCAGACUCAUCGGUCGUUGGAAUUGCUGCCCCGCACGAGAAAGCGAGGGUUUCCUUCCCCGCCGCGACCCCAUAUCCCUCCGCUCUACGGUGCCCCUCCUCGCUCCACGGUCGCGGAAUCCAGACGAGAUCGGCAGGAUCCGCUCUCGGGCGAGGGUUUUCUCUCUAUAAGUCGCUGCCUCGACCCAUGGGAACUCCGACGAACGGUGUACAUGCCGGCAGCCGGCGGGCCGGCGGAUCGGCUCCAGCCGCGUCCACCCUCACCUCCUCGUCCAUGACCUACUCUGCCCGGACGCCCGAGGUGACCGCGUGAUAUCAGAGAACAUACUAUUUUUUCAGAAAAAAAGGAAAGUAGGAUUUGAACGCCAUCCGCGAGUCCUCCAUCUAAGAGAAAUAUGGUAGUAGUCCAUAUAGAGUACAAGAGCUGACCAAUGUGGAGGCGUGGAGCAGACUGACAACGGAAAUACACAGGCUCAUGCCUUUAUUCUCCAUGUUUGCUAAAAGAGAGCUGCCCAGGUCUCCUGUGUCUCUCCCCUUGCCCCCGUGCUCCUUUUCCUCUCUCUCUCUCUCUCUCUCUCUCUCUCUCUCUCUCUCUCUCUCUCUCUCUGAGCUCUUCUCAUCUCACCGCCGUACUUCGUUUACAGGAGCAACCAUGGAUGCUCCGCGUUCAAGGUGUACAAGGCCGAUUUGGAGUGGUUCCCUCGCAAGCCCCUGCUAUUCCCCACCUCUCGCGGGGUUCUACAUCUAGAUUGUUUUCUUCGGUGGCAGGAAGGUUUCCAAGGAGGUACAGAUAGCAAAGUUCAAACAAUUCAGUGCAGCAGCAGCAACACCUCCAAGCGACGGCGGAGCACGAGCACGUGAGGGGCGGCGCCUUCCUCCCUUUCCAGCGACGGCAGCGACGGCGGAGCACGAGUAGGUGAGGGGCGGCACCUUCGUCGGACGGCUGGCCGCGGCGGAGGAGAAGGCGGACGCCAUGGGUGCGGCUAUAGCCGAGGCGGAGGAGAAGGCGGACGCCGUGGGCUUGCUGCACGGCUAUAGCCGAGGCGGAGGAGAAGGCGGACGCCGUGGGCGUUCAUGGAGGAUGGUACGCCGGCCGCCGGCUCCGGCCGCCAGUCCUCUCUGGCCUCCUCCGUGGUAUCCUUCUCAACCUCCGCUGCUCCUAUCGUGAUUUGGAUGGAAAAUUGGAGGCCGGCCGUGUCCUUCUCCAACACAAAUUGAUGUAGUGCCCGACCCGGAUUUGAUUGGCUGCUAUAAGAAGCAAGGGUCCUCGGCCGGAAUCUCCAUCAGUUCGCCGGAGGAAGAAGCGCCGAGUUCGCCGGAGGAACAAGCGCCGAGUUCGCCGGAGGAACAAGAACGCCCGCCGAGUCCUGUGGUGGCUACACGAGAGGCCCUUAAGAUGAGUGAUGAACACCCGUUGAGCCGUCCAAUGUUGCCUUUGGCAACUACACCAGAGCCGUCGUCUCCUUUGACUUCACCGCCAUCGUCUCACAAAGUUCUAAGGUCAAUUCUCUAAUGAGAACAGACUCUGUCCACAAGGGCCAUCAAGCCAACUAUAUGGAAGGACCCAUUCCCGCUCGUCGACUUCGCCGCAAGACAAUCUGCUACCGCCUCCGCCGAUUUUGCCGGAAGACCAUCAGCCGUCGCCUAGACCUACUUUGGUUCAGAAAAUAGAUGACAACACUGUAACUUAAUAUUACACAGAACAUUGAAGAGGACUUUGAUAACCGACCUUCAAAAACAGCAAAAAUUUCUGAAUCAAGUGUUCUGGAGCCAUCACCUAUGUCAUCAACUAUGUCAACAUGUACUCCAGUUUCUGAGUGUUUUGAAUCGAUUGUGCCAAAAUCAGAUAAUUAGAGAGAUCGUGGUCCAUUGCCAUCACCUCCAUCCCCAUCUAGCUCGACAUUACCAUCACCUCCAUCCCCAUCUAGCUCGACAUUAUCUCAAGAACAUCGGUCGAGCCGUACAAAUGGCGCCUGCAGCGGCUACACCAGAGGCAUUUAUCCCCUUGAUGAAAGCUAAUCACUGGAUGUAAUCCCCUGUUUUGGUUGUUGUUUCUGGCCUGGUUAUACAAGCAGUUUUCAACAGCAGCAGGCUAGCAUGCCCAGUCUGAACUUUUAGAAUGUUUUCCCAGUUCAUGUUCAACUUUGAUCCUUUUUCCAGUUAAAGUUCCAAGGAACUUUCCUGUGUGAAUCUGAGAAUCUCACUGAAACUUGUGUUUCAUUGUGUAUAUUGAGCCUAUCGAGUCGAGUUUCA
RNA transcript from Triticum aestivum (bread wheat), 2269 nucleotides. RefSeq lists it as uncharacterized. NCBI's taxonomy places the organism in Eukaryota, Viridiplantae, Streptophyta, Magnoliopsida, Poales, Poaceae. The transcript has 9 exons. The record is from RefSeq and is a predicted model, not a curated record.